This 220-nucleotide unclassified non-coding RNA is filed under the name air metagenome. RNAcentral describes it as "partial contains small subunit ribosomal RNA, internal transcribed spacer 1, and 5.8S ribosomal RNA". The stretch from base 1 to 46 matches the Rfam family "Eukaryotic small subunit ribosomal RNA", at positions 1786 to 1831 of the family's 1831-position model. The record is from RNAcentral.
AAGUCGUAACAAGGUCUCCGUUGGUGAACCAGCGGAGGGAUCAUUACCGAGUUUCCCGACUCCCAGACCCCCGUGCGAACCUACCAGCCGUUGCCUCGGCGGACCCGACCCCGGUCGGCCGCCGGGGACCCGAAGCCCGCAUCUUGCAAGCAACCGUCUGAGCCCGCCGCGAGGCAGCGCGAACGAGUCAAAACUUUCAACAACGGAUCUCUUGGUUCUG